RNAcentral lists this ribosomal RNA (433 nucleotides) under Bacillus amyloliquefaciens. RNAcentral's name for it is "bacterial SSU rRNA". It matches the Rfam family "Bacterial small subunit ribosomal RNA", at positions 876 to 1310 of the family's 1533-position model. The record is from RNAcentral. Lineage: Bacteria; Bacillati; Bacillota; Bacilli; Caryophanales; Bacillaceae.
GGGAGUACGGUCGCAAGACUGAAACUCAAAGGAAUUGACGGGGGCCCGCACAAGCGGUGGAGCAUGUGGUUUAAUUUGAAGCAACGCGAAGAACCUUACCAGGUCUUGACAUCCUUUGACAAUCCUAGAGAUAGGACGUCCCCUUCGGGGGCAGAGUGACAGGUGGUGCAUGGUUGUCGUCAGCUCGUGUCGUGAGAUGUUGGGUUAAGUCCCGCAACGAGCGCAACCCUUGAUUUUAGUUGCCAGCAUUCAGUUGGGCACUUUAAGGUGACUGCCGGUGACAAACCGGAGGAAGGUGGGGAUGACGUCAAAUCAUCAUGCCCCUUAUGACCUGGGGUACACACGUGCUACAAUGGGCAGAACAAAGGGCAGCGAAACCGCGAGGUUAAGCCAAUCCCACAAAUCUGUUCUCAGUUCGGAUCGCAGUUUGCAA